Molecule: ribosomal RNA, 1268 nt
Filed under: Kocuria sp.
Lineage: Bacteria; Bacillati; Actinomycetota; Actinomycetes; Micrococcales; Micrococcaceae
Description: bacterial SSU rRNA
Rfam family: Bacterial small subunit ribosomal RNA
Source: RNAcentral
GCCGGUGGCGGGUGCUUACACAUGCAGUCGAACGCUGAAGCACCAGCUUGCUGGUGUGGAUGAGUGGCGAACGGGUGAGUAAUACGUGAGUAACCUGCCCUUGACUCUGGGAUAAGCCCGGGAAACUGGGUCUAAUACUGGAUGCUACAUGUCACCGCAUGGUGGUGUGUGGAAAGGGUUUACUGGUCUUGGAUGGGCUCACGGCCUAUCAGCUUGUUGGUGAGGUAAUGGCUCACCAAGGCGACGACGGGUAGCCGGCCUGAGAGGGUGACCGGCCACACUGGGACUGAGACACGGCCCAGACUCCUACGGGAGGCAGCAGUGGGGAAUAUUGCACAAUGGGCGAAAGCCUGAUGCAGCGACGCCGCGUGAGGGAUGACGGCCUUCGGGUUGUAAACCUCUUUCAGCAGGGAAGAAGCCACAAGUGACGGUACCUGCAGAAGAAGCGCCGGCUAACUACGUGCCAGCAGCCGCGGUAAUACGUAGGGCGCAAGCGUUGUCCGGAAUUAUUGGGCGUAAAGAGCUCGUAGGCGGUUUGUCGCGUCUGCUGUGAAAGCCCGGGGCUUAACCCCGGGUGUGCAGUGGGUACGGGCAGACUAGAGUGCAGUAGGGGAGACUGGAAUUCCUGGUGUAGCGGUGGAAUGCGCAGAUAUCAGGAGGAACACCGAUGGCGAAGGCAGGUCUCUGGGCUGUUACUGACGCUGAGGAGCGAAAGCAUGGGGAGCGAACAGGAUUAGAUACCCUGGUAGUCCAUGCCGUAAACGUUGGGCACUAGGUGUGGGGGACAUUCCACGUUUUCCGCGCCGUAGCUAACGCAUUAAGUGCCCCGCCUGGGGAGUACGGCCGCAAGGCUAAAACUCAAAGGAAUUGACGGGGGCCCGCACAAGCGGCGGAGCAUGCGGAUUAAUUCGAUGCAACGCGAAGAACCUUACCAAGGCUUGACAUAUACCGGAUCGUUCCAGAGAUGGGUUCUUCCCCUUUGGGGUCGGUAUACAGGUGGUGCAUGGAUUGUCGUCAGCUCGUGUCGUGAGAUGUUGGGUUAAGUCCCGCAACGAGCGCAACCCUCGUUCCAUGUUGCCAGCACGUGAUGUGGGGACUCAUGAAGGACUGCCGGGGUCAACUCGGAGAAGGUGGGGAUGACGUCAAAUCAUCAUGCCCCUUUAUGUUCUUUGGGGUCUUUCCACGCAUGCCUACAAUGCUGAUUAACAAACGGUGCCGAAUACUGGUAGUGCACUAAUCUAAAAGGCCGGUCUCUCAGGAUUCGAGGU